GACGAACGCUGGCGGCGUGCCUAACACAUGCAAGUCGAACGGAGAUACGAUUUCGGUUGUAUCUUAGUGGCGAACGGGUGAGUAACGCGUGAGCAACCUGACCUUUAGAGGGGGAUAACACUUGGAAACAGGUGCUAAUACCGCAUAAGACCACGACCCGACAUCGGGAUGAGGUCAAAGGAGUAAUCCGCUAGAGGAGGGGCUCGCGUCCCAUUAGAUAGAUGGCGGGGUAACGGCCCACCAUGUCGACGAUGGGUAGCCGAGCUGAGAGGCUGAUCGGCCACACUGGAACUGAGACACGGUCCAGACUCCUACGGGAGGCAGCAGUGGGGAAUAUUGGGCAAUGGGCGCAAGCCUGGCCCAGCAACGCCGCGUGAGGGAAGAAGGCCUUCGGGUUGUAAACCUCUGUCCUUGGUGACGAAAAAAAUGACGGUAGCCAAGGAGGAAGCCCCGGCUAACUACGUGCCAGCAGCCGCGGUAAUACGUAGGGGGCGAGCGUUGUCCGGAAUUACUGGGCGUAAAGGGUGCGUAGGUGGCCUUUUAAGUUGGAUGUGAAAUACCCGAGCUUAACUUGGGGGGUGCAUCUAAUACUGGGAGGCUAGAGUGCAGGAGAGGGAAGCGGAAUUCCUAGUGUAGCGGUGAAAUGCGUAGAUAUUAGGAGGAACACCAGUGGCGAAGGCGGCUUUCUGGACUGUAACUGACACUGAGGCACGAAAGCGUGGGGAGCAAACAGGAUUAGAUACCCUGGUAGUCCACGCGGUAAACGAUGAAUACUAGGUGUAGGGGGUAUCAACUCCCCCUGUGCCGCAGCUAACGCAAUAAGUAUUCCGCCUGGGGAGUACGGCCGCAAGGUUG
RNAcentral lists this ribosomal RNA (855 nucleotides) under uncultured bacterium. RNAcentral describes it as "bacterial SSU rRNA". It matches the Rfam family "Bacterial small subunit ribosomal RNA", at positions 28 to 896 of the family's 1533-position model. The record is from RNAcentral.